RNAcentral lists this long non-coding RNA (220 nucleotides) under Lathyrus oleraceus (garden pea). RNAcentral's name for it is "Pisum sativum (pea) long non-coding RNA (PSAT_LNC017064)". Lineage: Eukaryota; Viridiplantae; Streptophyta; Magnoliopsida; Fabales; Fabaceae. The record is from RNAcentral.
AAACGAACCAAAUAGCAAGGCCCAGCCCAAAAUACAAGAACUCAGGUAUUGCACCUGUGACGAGCGUCACAGAGGCUGUGACGAGCGUCACGCCUUGCGCAUCCCUGUGACGGACGUCACACAUGGUGUGACGAACGUCACACCAUUCCCCUACUUUUUGGGCGCCAGUAACGCCUCAGAGACUUGAAGAGACUUGAGGAAUGUUGGGCCCUAUAUCCAC